Molecule: long non-coding RNA, 2484 nt
Organism: Gadus chalcogrammus (walleye pollock)
Lineage: Eukaryota; Metazoa; Chordata; Actinopteri; Gadiformes; Gadidae
Exons: 3
Source: RefSeq, a predicted model, not a curated record
AAAAGUACAUGCAUUCUUAUUAUGGCCACACCUGGCGUACUAGUAAAUCAACUGUGAUCAGAUUGGUUAAAAAAAAAGAGGCUGCGUGUGAUUUCAGUUCCGGUUCAAUGCAUUUGUAAUGAGGGGCCGCACUUCUGUGCAGUGUGCACAUUAGUCGUCGUUGCCAGCAGGCUGCACCCGACAGCCAAGGGAUUUACAUGUGGCAUAGCAAGUCUCUGAAGCAGUGUCUCACACUCGAGUCCUGACCGAGGGCCUUGAAACUGGCAUGCCUGUUCAAAACAUCUCCAGGACAACAAGAAGAUGAAGGAGAAUGCGUGCAGUGGGCUGAAUGGAGAAUUCGUGAAUCAAAGGCAACACCAUCAAAUGCAUUAUGAAAUUAAGCACUAUCAGGUUGUCAAGGCUGUAGCUCAGCCAACACAUUGGAUCGGCCCUCCGCAUGGUCCUGUAUACCUGAUUUUUUUUUUUUUUUAACUAUUUAUAUAUGGAAUCUGAAUGCACUCUCCAAUAAAUGCUGCAGUUCUUUGUGCCACAAGAGGCCAAGAAGCUCUACUACAAGAAGUUGAGGCAGAAGAUGAAGAUUAUUACAAAUUAUCCAAGUCAGUUCCUUCCGACCAAGUAAUUUGAUUGGACAAGAGGCAUUCCAGUGCUGAUAUAGAGUAUAACAGCACUGGGUCUUUUAACUAUCCACGUAUCGCUCCGCUUUACGGGUGUUCUCAUAACCGUUAAUGUUAUCAACAAUCUUUUUGUAGCUUAGAUUGCAGCUGAAUUAAGUUGAAUUAAGAAUGGUCGCCAGAAGAGGAACAAGGGAACCUAAUGUAAUGCUAAUGUGUUUGUGUUGCUUGGCAACAGUUCAGUCCAGUUGCGGAUCUAUUUGUGUUGGCGGAGCCAAAUAAAUCAUUAAUGAACCAAAGAAAUCUGAACAUAAUAUGUUGUUAAUUAUUAUUGUUAACUAAUGAUUGGUGCUUGUAGAACUGUUGGAUAAAAGCAAUAUCACUCAGGAGUGAGUGCUGUUGUACUACGGCUGGGAAGAGAAUCACAGCCGUGCUGAUAUUCAGUACAACAGCACUCCCUCUUGUGUGAUAUUGCUUAAUUAUUCUGUUCCAAAAUUCCAUAAAAAGUCUCAUUACUAAGAAAUAUUGAUGUAUAGUUACUUUUGUCAGUUUCAAGUUUUUGUUUUAACACGGGGGUACCAACAAUGUGUAUGAUGUAUGACUACCUUAAAGCAUUUGUCGAUGAUCUCACCCAGCUGCUGAGAGAACCUUCAGAGGUAAACCUCUAAGGUGUGCUCCUUUAUAAGCGAUGCUCCAGCAUGUGCUUUUCUCCAAAACAGUGUGCUAUCCUCUGGUUCAGUCUUUAUCAUCUACAGUUGAUUUAGGUACAAAAAAAGCCCAUUUCACAUAUCCCAUCGAUUAAAUGCACCUCUGCUGUUUGGGUGUAAAUUUUGCCAUCACUAUUUCUUGUUACGGAGAUGAAGACAACUACUUGUCUCUUUCAUGCAUCUCCUUUGUCCACAUCUAUGUUUGGGGAAUGUAAUUUGAAGCCAUUCCGUAAGUGUUUGCUAUGCCUCAUUGUUUAUUUUACUGCAUACUACAUUGGCACACUUGGGAUUUUUAUUUUAUUCAAUUUCUUCCCUUCUACAAUGCGGCAGCAUAAUCAUUACUACAGAUUUAUUUCCCCCACUUUAUUCUGUUUUUUGGGCAUUUCCUACCAGUGCAAAGAUGUUUAAAUUAGUCACUGAAAGCAGUGUUCUGAAAUGAUAUCAAAAAUAGUUGUGGCCUGUAUAUGUAAGCAUGGCCUUCACAUAUUUUUUGUAAAGCUGUACAUGUCUUUAAAGAUAUUGAUGCGGACGUUUCCACAUUUACACUUCUCAGUGCAAAUGGUUUUUUGAAUAAGUUUCUGAAAGUAGUGCUUUGAGAUGUUUGAGAUAACAAACAUUUAAUGUGUUGGAAAUAUUUUUGGUCGCUGUGUCAUAAUUCAGCUUAAUAUUUAAUACAUUGUUUCUUAUGGCAUAUUAACGAGAAAAUGUCAAACUGGCACUGAAUGUUGAAAAGGUUGCUGACCCCUGGUUACUGUAUUCCCUCUCCCGCUCCAUUACAUGUAUGUUUGUUUAUUUCAAGUUAACUUGUUUUUCUGUGUUAUUACAACCUUGCAACACAUUUCCAUUAAUGUAGUUUGUUUAUUCCUUAACAGUUUUCAAAAAACACAAUCAAAUGGGUACUAAAACCUUAAUCUUUGUCAAGCCAAACUCUUGAGUAAUUAUUUCAAAGAAUAGGGGCGUGGAAAUCAAUAAGGUAAGUGGGCUUUGGGGCUUAUCUUAUGACUAACUUUGGAUCUGAACUAAUGUGAAUCGUGAGUAGAUCUCAUGGUGUUUACAUCGCUUUACUAGGAUUUCUAAAUUGCAGCUUCUGUGUUUUAACCCCUCUCAAAUGCUACUGUUGUAAUGGGGUUUUCUUAACCAGUGAUCUUUAUUGCAUUUGUGAAAAC